RNAcentral lists this unclassified non-coding RNA (1903 nucleotides) under Hevea brasiliensis (rubber tree). Lineage: Eukaryota; Viridiplantae; Streptophyta; Magnoliopsida; Malpighiales; Euphorbiaceae. The record is from RNAcentral.
AUCCCACCACCAAUCCUCUCGCCGCCGAUAUCAUCCCCGUCCGGUCGAGUUGGGUCACCACGGCUGUACUUGGAGCCUACUGGCGGGAACCCCACCGCCGCCUCCCCGACCCUCAGCUCUCUAGCCUCAGGCCCGGAGUAGACCUCCUCCUGUUGGACAACACGACGAACUCCUCCACCCACCACGGUGGUCGCGGCGCUCUUCCUUCUGAGGGCGGCUCUCCUUCAGACCUCCUCUUUCUUGCCGGCGGCGGUUCUGCCGUCGUUGUUUGACUGACCAUCUUCUCCUUUUUUGUAAUUAACACCCAAAGUUUUUAGAUAAUAGAAAGAGAUGUUGACCAUUAAGAGGGUUCCCACCGUCGUCUCCAACUACCAGGAGGAUUCCGCCGGCGGUGAGCCGGUUGGGUGCGGUCGUAACUGUCUCGCAAAGUGCUGCCUUUUAGCGUCAAAGCUCCCUCUUUUCACUUUCAAAUCAGAUUCCAAGCCAGCCGGUUCUCCGGCCAGCCAGGAGGUCCUCCCUCCCGAUUUCUUCCUCCACACCCUUCUGCUCGGACAGUGGGAAGACAGGGUGAGCCGCGGGCUGUUCCGAUAUGAUGUGACGGCAUGUGAGACUAAGGUGAUUCCUGGGGAGCAUGGCUUCAUUGCCCAGCUGAACGAGGGCCGCCACCUGAAGAAGCGCCCUACCGAGUUCCGUGUGGAUCGGGUCCUUCAGCCCUUUGAUCCCUUGAAGUUCAACUUCACUAAGGUCGGGCAGGAGGAGGUGCUGUUCCGCUUUGAGGCUGGUGUGGAUGAUGACAAUGCUCGCUUCUAUGAGAGCACCCCUGUCAGUGAAACCAAUCCUCCCAAUGUCGUCGCAAUCAAUGUGAGCCCGAUUGAGUAUGGCCAUGUAUUGCUGAUCCCUCGUGUGCUCGACUGUCUGCCCCAGAGGAUUGAUCCCGAUAGUUUCUUACUUGCCGUCCACAUGGCGGCAGAAGCCCGUAGUCCAUACUUCCGACUUGGUUACAACAGUCUGGGUGCCUUUGCCACCAUCAAUCACCUUCACUUUCAGGCUUAUUUCAUGUCGAUGCCCUUCCCUGUGGAAAAGGCUCCAACGGUGAUGAUACCUGUUGUUGAAGGUCAGAGGAAGAGUGGAGUGAAGGUCUUACGGUUGCUAAAUUAUCCAGUCAGGGGCCUGGUUUUUGAGGGUGGGAACACCCUUAAGGACCUGGCUGAUGUCGUUGCCGAUUCCUGCAUCUGUCUUCAAGACAAUAACAUUCCAUAUAAUGUGCUUAUCUCGGAUUCGGGCCGGAGGAUCUUUCUCUUUCCACAGUGCUAUGCAGAAAAGCAGGCCCUUGGUGAGGUGGACCAAGAGCUUUUAGACACCCAAGUGAACCCCGCUGUCUGGGAGAUCAGCGGUCAUAUGGUGCUGAAGCGCAAGAAGGAUUUUGAAGAGGCAUCGGAGGACUAUGCUUGGAGGCUCCUGGCUGAAGUCUCUCUGUCCGAGGAGAGGUUUCGAGAGGUGAUGACCUACAUCUUCGAGGCCAUAGAUUUUGUGGAGGCUGAAGAGGGCGACCCAAAUGCAACCGAGAGCAAAGAAACCUCUCACCCUACUCCGGUUUCUGCGCAUUCCCCUGAGGGGUGUUUGGUUCUGCAGUGAAGGAUAUUCCUCUUGGUAGUAUUGACGCUAUUGCAGUUUACUUUCCUCUUGUAGUAUCGAUGCUAUUGCGAUAUUGUAGAUGGUUUGGGAACCUAGUAAGGAUUGUCGGCCUUGCUUGUUCCUCUUAUAUUCUCAGUCUUUUUAUGCUUAUGAACUGGGGCUGUAUUGGCUCAAUUGUGGUGGUUCUGAUCAGUGAUCUUAUAUUGAUUGCUGUAUUGGCAAAAAUGUUGUGUAGAUAUUUGUUUACCUGCAUUGGCUUGAAGUUGUU